RNAcentral lists this long non-coding RNA (208 nucleotides) under Gossypium barbadense (sea-island cotton). Its description in RNAcentral is "long non-coding RNA (GBAR_LNC008160)". Lineage: Eukaryota; Viridiplantae; Streptophyta; Magnoliopsida; Malvales; Malvaceae. The record is from RNAcentral.
UUUUGAAAUGGCUUGAUUUUAGGUAAAUUUUGGGUUCACAUGGCCUGGGAUACGGGUUGACGACAUGGCCAUGUGUCUUUUGAGAGUUUCUUAGUGUUUCAAGUCAAUGAGUUACAUGGCCUGGCACACGGGCGUGUGAGGCAACUCAGAGAGUUACAUGGCCUAACACACGGUCUAGCACAUGGCCUAGCACACAAGCAUGUGAGGC